GCCAGGUGUGGUGUUGUGCACCUGUGGUCCCAGCUACUCUGGAGGCUGAGGUGGGAGGAUUGUUUGAGCCCAGGAGGUCGAGGCUGCAGUGAUCACUGCACUCUAGCCUGGGUCAUAAAAUGAGACCCUGUUUUUU
This 136-nucleotide non-coding RNA is filed under the name Nomascus leucogenys (northern white-cheeked gibbon). The record is from Rfam by way of RNAcentral. Lineage: Eukaryota; Metazoa; Chordata; Mammalia; Primates; Hylobatidae.